GCCUGGGUAGCUCAGUUGGUAGAGCACUAGGAACGAAACCUAGGGGUCCAGGGUUCGAUUCCCUGUCCAGGCA
This is a non-coding RNA of Planococcus citri (citrus mealybug), 73 nucleotides long. NCBI's taxonomy places the organism in Eukaryota, Metazoa, Arthropoda, Insecta, Hemiptera, Pseudococcidae. The record is from the annotation of a RefSeq genome assembly.